This 606-nucleotide ribosomal RNA is filed under the name Microlophus theresiae. RNAcentral's name for it is "partial 12S ribosomal RNA". It matches the Rfam family "Bacterial small subunit ribosomal RNA", at positions 21 to 1019 of the family's 1533-position model. The record is from RNAcentral. Lineage: Eukaryota; Metazoa; Chordata; Lepidosauria; Squamata; Tropiduridae.
CUUGCCGUUGUUUUUGAUUAAAAUUACACAUGUAAGUAUCCGCACACCAGUGAAAAUGCCCUAGAACAAAAAGGAGCAGGUAUCAGGCACGAAUCUUCAGCCCAAAACACCUUGCUACGCCACACCCCCACGGGACAUCAACAGUGACAAAUAUUAAGCCAUAAGCGAAACGUCCAAUCUAAAGCUUGACUUAGUUAUAAUCACCAAGGGUUGGCCAAUCUCGUGCCAGCCGCCGCGGUUACACGAGAAACCCAAAACAACGACCAACGGCGUAAAUUGUGGCUAGAAUAACUGCUAAUAACUAAGAAAUAAACCAACGCCUAACCGUAAAACACAGGUAAAAUGAAACUUCUUACACUAAAAGCAAUUUGAACCCACGAAAGCUAAGAAACAAACUAGGAUUAGAUACCCUACUAUGCUUAGACGUAAAUAAGACACCAAACAACAUAAGUGUCCGCCAGAGAACUACAAGCGAAAAGCUUAAAACUCAAAAGACUUGACGGUGUCCCACACCCGACUUAGAGGAGCCUGUCCUAUAAUCGAUAACCCACGAUAAACCCCACCACCUUUUGCCCAACCAGCCUAUAUACCGCCGUCGCAAACCUA